UACGGAGGGUGCAAGCGUUGUCCGGAAUCACUGGGCGUAAAGGGCGCGUAGGCGGCUCAUGAAGGCUGUGGUGAAAGUCCGGGGCUCAACCUCGGAUCGGCCGUGGCGACUCGUGGGCUGGAGCACUGUAGAGGCGGGUGGAAUUCCGGGUGUAGCGGUGGAAUGCGUAGAGAUCGGGAAGAACACCAGUGGCGAAGGCGGCCCGCUGGGCAGUGGCUGACGCUGAGGCGCGACAGCGUGGGGAGCAAACAGG
Molecule: ribosomal RNA, 253 nt
Filed under: uncultured bacterium
Lineage: Bacteria
Description: partial 16S ribosomal RNA
Rfam family: Bacterial small subunit ribosomal RNA
Source: RNAcentral